This 92-nucleotide non-coding RNA is filed under the name human gut metagenome. RNAcentral's name for it is "THF riboswitch". It matches the Rfam family "THF (Tetrahydrofolate) riboswitch aptamer". Rfam says of the family: THF riboswitch presents a pseudoknot that joins P1-P2 and the loop of P3 and two THF binding. RNAcentral also lists the same sequence under 1 other name. The record is from RNAcentral.
CAGAGUAGGAACAGCGCGUUAAGUGCGUCGGGAUGGGAAGUUGUCCGACGACGAAGGGGUACGCCCCACGGUGCUGCUGCCGCUUCCGCUGC